GUCUUUAAUGAUUUUGUAACGGAAAACAAAAUAGAAUUAACCCAGCACUACAAUGUUAUCAAUUUAUCAGGAGAUGCUCAUUUAGAUG
This 88-nucleotide small nucleolar RNA is filed under the name Streptococcus intermedius SK54 = ATCC 27335. The record is from RNAcentral. Lineage: Bacteria; Bacillati; Bacillota; Bacilli; Lactobacillales; Streptococcaceae.